GUUCUUAUCUGGAUGGCAGGGCUGGUAACUUGUAUCCUGUGAGGCUUCUGGAAUAAAGCUUUAUGACGCCCAAGUGUUGAAGCUCCUGCUGGCACACCUAGGCAUCCCCUCCUGGCCUUAUUCACAGCUCCUUUAGUCAAAGCCUGUGCCAGCCAGGCUCCUUCUCUGGGGCAGGUGCGAACUGCUUGGGCAUCCUUCCGGGAAGGGAGCUCCCAGCUCCCGGCAGGAGCAGAGCGGCGUCUCUGUCACGCCGCUGUUUGCAGACUCCCCGGUGCUCUCAGCCUCUUCACUCCAGAACUGCACUCCUCGGAACUGCGACCCCCCAUCGACCAUCUCCUGGGCACAGUCACUGCCUCUGUCAGCACCCUGGUGACAGACUCCUUGGCUAGCAAGUGAGGAGGAAUGCACAGAAGGCCCAGAACGGCAGAGCUGAAAGUGAACACCUGUAUCUGGAUGCAGCUGCGUUCCUGCAUACCUCCACUGUGGGCAGGACAGUGGCCAUGGCGGCGGCAGCGGGGACUACUAACCGGUUACUCAUGUCAGCUCUUUUUCAUAGGAGGUGGAACCUCGAUGGAGGUGGAGCCUCGUUGGAGGUGAAGCCUCAUGAAGGAGGUGGAGCCUCCACAAUAGGCCUUGAGUGAAGAAGGCCCUUGGCAAUAUGAUCCUGGCUCCCUUGGCUGGAUCCUGUGUCCCCCCAGGACUUCACUCUGUGACACACCUCCUACUUCCGGACCCCACCUACUCUCCAGAACACGGAAGGUCAGAAGGUCCAUCUUUUUGCAGGCAGAGACUGCCUGAGCUCGCUAAGAAACCUGACCCACACUCUCUCCUUAGAGAAGGAAACCGAAGCUCCACGACGUCCCCAAGUAACUUCCCCAAGGCCACCCAGCAAACGAGCCGUAGAAUUGCCUUUUAUCUUGGAAUCAAGAGCUUCCGGAAGUUUCCGGCUCUCCGGAACUUCUUCCUUCUGGUCCCGGUCCUUCUACUCGCAGCCCAACCAGGUGCAUAUUAGCAUAAAACAUCCCUAGGUGGGACUCUUUCCGCCCUGGCGGCUCCCACGCCCGCGCCUGCUGCCGGGCUCUGGCCUCUGCCUGGGCGCCGGCUCCUUGCCCAUGUAGGGUUCGAGCACCUGCCGGGAAGCGCGGGAAGCGCUCGCCCGGGUAUGGCGCACCCUCCCGGGCUGGGCCCGCUGCCCGGCGCUCGCAGCGCUCCCGAGUAUGGAGCGGCUUGAUUGACCUUGGCAAGAGGCAGCCAAUCUCCCAGAGGCUUGCCCUCCCCACCCCCUCUCGGCGCUGGCGCCAGAGCUCUGGUUUCUUCCGCCACUACCUCUCGCGUGCGUCCAGACAGGACUUUGGGGAGGGGUCUUGGGAGGAGCUAAAUCCGACCCCCCAUUGCGUCCUAGCCAGCCCGAGAUGAGCUAGUGUGAGCGUCUUCUUGCAAAUUAAGUCGUCUCGGUACUCUCCUUCCGGAGGGCACUGGGGCAGCAGCCGAUGUCUCGGCGGACCCGCUAUUUCCUGAAACAAUCCAAGCUAGCUCAGGGUCAAGAGGGGGUGACAAUUGUGUCCCCCACUAACUUGAAUCUAGCUAGCUUCCAAAGGUUUCCAAGAAACCCCUCCCUUCUGUCCCAUCAGCACAAACAGCCAGAGAACGGAUCCAGUUCAGUGGUGCCAUUUCUUCAGAGACGUCGGUGGUCCUUAGACAACGCCGUCUCUCUCUUUUCCCACGUGUGAAUCUGGGCAACAGUAUUGUCUUGUUUGUUUGGCUGGCUGGUUUUCCUGAAGAUCCACUAAGCAUCCUCAAAGCACAACGCGGGGCCUUCGCAUCCUCAUCCAAAGGGCUUGGAGAACUCUGGGACAGUUCCCACCGCUUAACAACGUUGCCUGUGUCUGUCGUUUUCUGUGAAAAGAAUUUGAAGCCCUCGUCCUUUGAUAGAAGGGGGAUGAGAGAAUGUAAUAUGCUUUAAAGACCGAGAUGAAGAAUUUUGGACAAUAACUGUAUUCUGGGGAAGGGGUGGGGGAAUCCUAAACUCCCAGAUUUUCUCAGGAAACAAAACUCAAAUGAAAGACCGGUUCCCAAUGACUGCUGUUUUACGAGCAAUGUGGUUUGUUGUUGCUUAAUUACGAUCAGACCCAUUUUAUAGAGGGAACUGAGGCCUGUAAAGUAACGCUCCAAGAUUACAGACUUCUAGAAACAAUGGCGUUAGUGACAAAAUCCACUCGUUGGCAUCCUAUGUUCUCUGCUUUCCUUCCGUCCACUGAGCUGCCGUCGGGCGUGCCUAUUUUGUGCGCGUUGCCUGCCCUUUCUGUGCUUUCUCCUGUGCUUUAUCGCUUUCUCCUUGGUACUGGUGAUU
Molecule: long non-coding RNA, 2350 nt
Filed under: Mus pahari (shrew mouse)
Lineage: Eukaryota; Metazoa; Chordata; Mammalia; Rodentia; Muridae
Description: predicted gene, 16863 (MGP_PahariEiJ_G0004393.1)
Source: RNAcentral